RNAcentral lists this ribosomal RNA (253 nucleotides) under uncultured bacterium. Its description in RNAcentral is "partial 16S ribosomal RNA". It matches the Rfam family "Bacterial small subunit ribosomal RNA", at positions 524 to 776 of the family's 1533-position model. The record is from RNAcentral.
UACGUAGGCAGCGAGCGUUGUUCGGAAUUACUGGGCGUAAAGAGUGUGUAGGCGGUGCUCUAAGUUCGGUGUGAAAUCUCCUGGCUUAACUGGGAGGGUGCGCCGGAAACUGGAGUGCUUGAGCGUGGGAGAGGAAAGCGGAAUUCCUGGUGUAGCGGUGAAAUGCGUAGAUAUCAGGAGGAACACCUGUGGCGUAGACGGCUUUCUGGACCAUAGCUGACGCUGAGACACGAAAGCGUGGGUAGCAAACAGG